This 2830-nucleotide long non-coding RNA is filed under the name Neogobius melanostomus (round goby). RNAcentral describes it as "lncRNA (ENSNMLG00000023115.1)". Lineage: Eukaryota; Metazoa; Chordata; Actinopteri; Gobiiformes; Gobiidae. The record is from RNAcentral.
AUGCACCGCAGAGUUCUUCCCGACUUCAACAACAGCAUUGAGAUGGUCUACAUCAGCGAGGAUUAUGGAACAGUCUAUCUCGCAUUCAGGAGACAGGGACAGCACGUUGAUCUGGAGAAGGAUCAUGAGGAGCACAAAGCAAAGGCUAAAUACUUCGGUCUGAGCGGAGAGAACUUCGAUGAGUGGCACUACGACGGAGCGGCGGUACUACUCCAAUAUUCAGCUCAACAAACAUACACUGAGUGCAAAAUUAUUACACAAGUUAGUUUUCUGACCAUAUUGGGGGGAGUUUCUGCUCAUUUCAAACUCCAAAUUGUGUAAAACUGAAAAGGCGUUGGAUUUAAGCGUCCCAGGUCGUGGCAGUGUUUGUAGCUAGAAGAUGUGAGGUCAAAGUAGGUCCAAGCUCUGAAUCAAGGGCAGAAUUAUUAUGCAGCCAUUUUCCCUCACACAAAAAGGGAAGGAAGAGACAUCUGAAAAUCUCCUGAUCAGAGGGAUGCAGAGAUUUUGAAAUUUCCCACACAGAACCAUCAAACGUUUUGUUGAAAAUAGCAAACAGGGUCGUAAGAAGUUGACAAGAACGAAGACUUGUCAACGUUCUUGUCAAGUAUAAAGCCAUCAGGACUCUCACUCACAGUGCUGCCAUUUUCAGCACCUGAAGGGUCCAGAAGUACAGUUCGGUGCUCAGAGACAUUGCCGAGAAAAGUGGAAACCCAACCACUAUGGACUUAAGGUGCCUACACACCUAACUGCACGCAUCGCGCUGUUGCUUCCAUUUGGACGCUUGAAAGGCUUGCAAUCAGACGCUCACAUGUGUUCACGUCAGGCGCUGCCGCGUGAUUCUGUAGGAAAUAAAAAAACUGUUUCCUGAUUCUUUGCUUGUGCUUUGGAGUCAGUGAGAGUUUUACUAGCCUACAUUUCUCUGACACUUGAGGCAAAUCUCACCUCUUUCCUCUUUCUCUCUCCCGGAUAUUAUUUCAAUAUGUGUGGGUUUGAGUGUGUAAUACCUGUCUAUCCAUCAUGUCCUCAGAAAAUCCCCUUUUAAACAUGUUUGUAAUCCAGUGCGUCCUUUAUUGCACGUUUAAUACGUUUAUUGAGGCAUAUAAUUCCUCUGAACCGAAUGCCUGGGCUCGGGAAAGGCAUUUCAAACCACAGCUGCUGCUUGUCAUGAAGAUUUCCUUCUCUCUCAGACGCUGUUUCCAUUUCACUCUUUAUGAUGUAGUGGAGGUGGUUAUGUUGCUCCAAAUUCAGAUGAUCUAUACAGAUUUCUUGAAUGUGUGUGUUUGCCCUCCUGCCUCCUCACGCCGCUGACUCACACCGCUCUUCACACCUGCCGCCACGCACACUCAUCACCCGCACACGUGCGCACUUUUCACAUUGACAAUACUCAGUAAUCCACCACAGCUGCCGUGCGAUCCGCAUUAGGUGUGAAGGACACUCAAGACACAUAAGCUGAACUGUUUACACUGGGUCAGGAAUGAUCUAAAGACAAAGUCCAUCCAGAGUCACUCUGACCUCAUCAGUCCGUUAAACCUUUGAAACCUCUGUCUUUAGAUCACUCCUGACCCCGUCUAAACAUUUCAACUUAUGUGUCUUGGUCAAUAGUGGUCAGGUUUUCACUUUUCUCUGCAAUGUCUCUUCAUGCUUGAUUUUUCUUCUCAUGACAAUGUUGACUAUUGAUAACAAAACAUUUGAUGUUUUUUACCAUUUAAAUGUUUUUUGAGUCCUGCAUCCCUCCAGCUUUUAACAAUUUGUGACAUUUGAUGUCUUUUCCUUCCCAUUCUGUGUGAGGGAAAAUAGCUGCAUAAUAAUUCUGCACUUGAUUCAGAGCGUGGACCUGAUUUGGAAACACUUCCUCUCAUUACAAACAUCGUCAACCCCCGGAAAACUUCAAUCCAACAGCCUUUCAGUUUUACACAGUUUGGAGUUUGAAACAAACUAAAGAACAAUAUGACUAAUAUGGUUAAUUGUGCAUACAGUGUGUAAAAAACAUUCAAAUCUUGUGAUAGAACAUCAGAAUUCUAAACAUCUGUUUCUGUUUCAGAUUUCUGCCACCUAAAGUCAGCGCCGGAGAAAGCUGAGUCUUGAACCAAGAAACUACACCCAAAAUAAAGAGUCUAAACACGCUUUGAGUCUCAGUGUUUAAGCCUCCGUAAAGAAAUGUAAGAAAGUAGGCAUUUGGUUACCACAUUUGCAACUGUGGGACAAAACAAUCCCAGUAAGAUUAGUGUUAUAGUAAUAGUAGCUCCUGAAGUAGAUGUUUGGUGAUACACGUAUGAAGUUUGCUGCUUUCUCUACAUGUCACUUUGUAAGAAAACGUGCUAAAGUCCUUAUACCCUGAGGGUCACGCCUCAUUGAGGUGCAGGUAAACAUCUGGCUAGUGCCACGUUUCUGUGAGGCGCAUGAGGUCAAUCUCCUUGUCAGUGAUGUGAGCAUGGAUAACUAGAUGCUCCAGCCCAUCAGGGGGCAGGGGCAGUGUGUGGGAGUUUAAAUCGAUAAGACAAGAGUUUAUUUGUAAAGAACAAUUCAAAGUCCUUUACCGAACAGGAAUGUACAGUUGAAAACUAUAACUAUAAAAUGGAAAUGUCAUUAUAAAAUCCUGAAGAAAUAGUUUCAGUGUGUGCCAGUUAAUACAACUGUUUUCAGCAUGGAUUAGAACUUCAGCAGAGUUGAGGCUUGUCUCACAUCUUAAGGGGACUGUUCACAUUUUUAAACUUAAUUUAAAAUUUUCAAAACUUUGUUUAUUUGGAGUUUUACAGAAAUUGUGCAGAGUUUUCAAACAAGUGAGAUUAAAUACAAGGGAAAAAAGAAUACUGACACAAUCUCCUUAAAU